RNAcentral lists this ribosomal RNA (488 nucleotides) under Synechococcus sp. CCY0417. Its description in RNAcentral is "bacterial SSU rRNA". It matches the Rfam family "Bacterial small subunit ribosomal RNA", at positions 1047 to 1533 of the family's 1533-position model. Lineage: Bacteria; Bacillati; Cyanobacteriota; Cyanophyceae; Synechococcales; Synechococcaceae. The record is from RNAcentral.
GGCUGUCGUCAGCUCGUGUCGUGAGAUGUUGGGUUAAGUCCCGCAACGAGCGCAACCCACGUCUUUAGUUGCCAGCAUUCAGUUGGGCACUCUAGAGAGACCGCCGGUGAUAAACCGGAGGAAGGUGUGGAUGACGUCAAGUCAUCAUGCCCCUUACAUCCUGGGCUACACACGUACUACAAUGCUACGGACAAAGGGCAGCAAACUCGCGAGAGCUAGCAAAUCCCAUAAACCGUGGCUCAGUUCAGAUCGUAGGCUGCAACUCGCCUACGUGAAGGAGGAAUCGCUAGUAAUCGCAGGUCAGCAUACUGCGGUGAAUACGUUCCCGGGCCUUGUACACACCGCCCGUCACACCAUGGAAGUUGGCCAUGCCCGAAGUCGUUACUCCAACCCGCAAGGGAGGAGGACGCCGAAGGUGGGGCUGAUGACUGGGGUGAAGUCGUAACAAGGUAGCCGUACCGGAAGGUGCGGCUGGAUCACCUCCUAAC